RNAcentral lists this long non-coding RNA (275 nucleotides) under Sarcophilus harrisii (Tasmanian devil). RNAcentral's name for it is "lncRNA (ENSSHAG00000025072.1)". Lineage: Eukaryota; Metazoa; Chordata; Mammalia; Dasyuromorphia; Dasyuridae. The record is from RNAcentral.
AGGGGCCUGCUCAAAGAUACAGAGGGCGACGCUGCGCAUCAAGGAACGCAGCCCCUGCCCGAAGAAGGGUUGGUCUGGGAGCACUGACGCUGAUCCCGGGGCGCUCAGCCUCACCGAAUGGAGGAAAAUGGCUUCAUGGACUCCGAGUCCUGAUCAAACAUAUAGGAACUGUGGAUUUUCCAGUAGAACUUUUCCAGAUACGUAUAGACAGUGAAGGAAAGAAGGAAAAAAACAAGGUGAUCUGGGGUUGGCAUAUCAUCUCAGGCUGACUGCCC